CAUUUUUUAUCCUAUUCAAAAACUCAAAUGAAAGAUCAAUGUUUUCCCAUUUUUACCCUUCUCUUUAGAGUGACAAGCAUAACUUUUUUGGAUAGAUUUUUUCCCUUAAAGUUGAAGGGCAUUAUUGGCAAGUUGAAAUUUAGAAGUUACAAUCAUAUUGUUCCCUUUAUAAAGGUGGAAACCUGAAAUGGACAUCCAAUUGGAGUACUAAUUUUCUUUAUGGGUAUGGAGCCAUGGUCAUAGUUUUAUAAGUUGAGUAAUGAGGGGAAGGAAAACGGUAAAUGACCAUAUAUAAGGCUCCAAGGUUAGUUUAUUUUUUGUGGAAUAAGCAGAGUGGAAAUCCGUACAU
This is a long non-coding RNA of Rhododendron vialii, 349 nucleotides long. RefSeq lists it as uncharacterized. The transcript is spliced from 2 exons. The record is from RefSeq and is a predicted model, not a curated record. Lineage: Eukaryota; Viridiplantae; Streptophyta; Magnoliopsida; Ericales; Ericaceae.